GGAGGAAAAGAAACUAACAAGGAUUCCCCUAGUAACGGCGAGUGAAGAGGGAAGAGCCCAAGAUUGAAAGCUGGCGUCUUCGGCGUCCGCAUUGUAAUCUCAAGAAGUGUUUUCCGCUUCGGACCAAGCCUAAGUCCCCUGGAAAGGGGCAUCAUAGAGGGUGAUAAUCCCGUACAUGGCUUGGAGCGCCCGAGGCUUUGUGAUACGCUUUCUAAGAGUCGAGUUGUUUGGGAAUGCAGCUCAAAAUGGGUGGUAAAUGCCAUCUAAGGCUAAAUAUUGGGGAGAGACCGAUAGCGAACAAGUACAGUGAUGGAAAGAUGAAAAGAACUUUGAAAAGAGAGUUAAACAGUACGUGAAAUUGCCAAAAGGGAAGGGUAGGAGGUCAGAGAUGCGGCCUGGGAUUCAGCCUUGCUUUUGCUUGGUGUUUUUCCCAGAUUGCAGGCCAACGUCGGUUUUGGGCACUGGAGAAGGGUAGGAGGAACGUGGCACCCCUCGGGGUGUGUUAUAGCCUCCUACUGGAUACAGCGACCGAGACCGAGGACAGCAGCGUACUCGCAAGAGCGGGCCUUCGGGCACCUUUACGCUUAGGGCGUUGGCAUAAUGGCCCUCUACCACCCG
RNAcentral lists this ribosomal RNA (618 nucleotides) under Moesziomyces antarcticus. Its description in RNAcentral is "partial large subunit ribosomal RNA". It matches the Rfam family "Eukaryotic large subunit ribosomal RNA", at positions 52 to 651 of the family's 3401-position model. Lineage: Eukaryota; Fungi; Basidiomycota; Ustilaginomycetes; Ustilaginales; Ustilaginaceae. The record is from RNAcentral.